GGAGAGGGAGAGGGAGAGGCCUGCGCCAAGUCAGCGCCCCGCCAUAGUGACAGUUUUGUGCCCUGAAUGAUGCAAGCAGUGGUUUGAGGGAGUCUGUUGGUCCUGUCAUGCAAGUUACGGCAUCCUUUGUGUUGUUAAUGAAGUGUUGGGGAGGCUAGUGUGAGUGUGUGUGUGUGUGUGUGUGUGUGUGUGUGUGUGUGUGUACUGCAAGCAAUGCUAUUGGUACAUCCACCCCCAGCCGUGACAUACCUGUGACGUGUGUGUAUAUGUGUGUGACGCUAACCUCUUGCUGUGUGUGUGUGUGUGUGUGUGUGUGUGUGUGGCCAGUGGGGAGACGCCACGUCACGGGUUGGCAGGCAGGAAACAAGAGUGGAUCAGUUUUGGCCUGGCUGUGAAGGUGAGCGGGUGGAGUGUCAGUACUGUUACUGGAUUUGUAUUAAUAUUACGUUUGCAAGACAAUUGAGCGGCAUAGUUUGUGUUGACACGGCUUAUUACCGCAGUCUGCACAGCGUCUGCAGUGUGGCAAGCCUUAUAAGUACAGUGUGUGUGUACUGACGUACCUUGUGUCCGCGCUUCCUCCGCCCCCCUGUCAGAUAUGGAGGGGUUGGGGAAAGGAUGCCGUGUCCCUGAGUCUGCCCCUGACUGGCCAGCUGACGCCCAUUGAUAUCUCCAUGGCCGUGGUGAGGCAGGAGAGGACUCAAGGAUGGAGAGCUUAGGAUACCACACGGAGGAGGGUGAAGGAGCCUUGGGGAAGCCUGAAGAAGGGGCAGUGAAGGAGGGAGGCCUGGAGGUGAAGGAAAUGCAGAAAAUUCCUCUAAUAGUGAGCGCUUCGCUGGUCAGACCAUCCCUCACUGAAUAUUUUGACCGAGGCUUCGAGAUACGAGAUGAGAAUCCGUUUUUUAGUAGUUUAAGCCAGUUUUAUGUGUUUUUGGGUGUUUGUAGAUUGUUUUUAUCUUGUUUUGAGUAUUUUUUUGGUUUGUGAAAGGAGGGAGAAAGCUUAAAUACAGUAAUAAUACCGAAAAAAAAGGCUUAAAUUGAGAGUUUUAAAGUUAUCUUAGCGUAUAUUAAGCUGUUUUAAAUGUUUUAAGUUACCAGAAGAGAGGAAGCUUAAAUUUAAUAUUAGGAUAAGGAAAAAGCUUAUUUCUUGCAUUAGGAAGAAAGGAAAGCUUAAUAUUGCCACCUCAUCCCCCCAGCCCCCAGUGAGCCAGGUGACCCCCUAGAACAACGCCAUCCUGCCUAUUUGUGGUGUGGCAGCCCAGAUCGUCCCCCCUCCCUCCCUCAUCCUCCUCCUCCUCUAGCAAAGAAGAGACGUUUAAUCAGCUAGUGGACAGGUUGUUGUUGUUGUUGUUAUUGUUGUUGUGGGGGUGGCGGUGGUAGUAGUGGCGGCGGUGGUUGUUCGUCUCUCUCUCUCUCUCUCUCUCUCUCUCUCUCUCUCUCUCUCUCUCUCUCUCUCUCUCUCUCUCUCUCUCUCAGGCGGUGGUGGGGGGACGGGAGGGCGUAGUCUCGAGGAGGCUGGCAGAGGUUAUGGAAGGGUCCUGGUAUGCUCCCUCUCCCUCACUCCCUCGCUCCCUCCUUGGGCUCUCUCCGGAACAAGUAGCGGCGUGGCUGGAAGUGGGCGGAAGUUUAGCAGGCUUCUCUAAGAUUGGGCUGGAAGUUAGCGGAAGAGGAGACGUGGCACAUGACAAGGCAAUACAGGGCUUACAGAGGGCAGGCGUGACUGGGCCCUGCCUCGCCGCCCUUGUCAACACCCUAGAGAGAAAUACGCUCACCUUGUAGAGAGGAUAUAUUUUCAUUUUCUUUCGUUGUAUAUAUAUUUUUUUUUAUUUAUUAUUAAAAGGAAUAUUUUCUUUUUUCUAUUUUUCGUUCGUUUUAUAAUGGAUUGUUUAAUUUUAUCUAUAUUUGUUUACAUUUUUUAUCAAUUUCUUUCGAUUUUAUAUUCAGUUUAUUUAUUUAUCAUUAUUUCUUAAGAUAAUUUCUUUAAUUUCUCUAUUUUUCGCUCGUUUUCAUAAUGGGAGUGUUCAAUUUUUAUAUAUUUUUCAAUCGUAAUUUAAUAUCUUAGACUUAAUAUCCAAUUUAUUGAUUUAUUAUUACUUCUAAGUGUGUGUAAGUACUUAAAAGUUUAAUUUAAUUAUUUAUUUAUUUAUUUUUAUUUUCCGUCCGUUUUUAUUAUAUUGGAAACUUAUAUCAUAUAUAUUCCAGUUUUGU
Long non-coding RNA from Scylla paramamosain (green mud crab), 2205 nucleotides. RefSeq lists it as uncharacterized. Lineage: Eukaryota; Metazoa; Arthropoda; Malacostraca; Decapoda; Portunidae. The record is from RefSeq and is a predicted model, not a curated record. The transcript is spliced from 4 exons.